Molecule: ribosomal RNA, 253 nt
Filed under: uncultured bacterium
Lineage: Bacteria
Description: partial 16S ribosomal RNA
Rfam family: Bacterial small subunit ribosomal RNA
Source: RNAcentral
UACGGAGGGUGCAAGCGUUGUCCGGAAUUACUGGGCGUAAAGGGCGCGUAGGCGGCUUCGCUAGUCGGGCGUGAAAUGCCUGGGCUUAACCCGGGAAUUGCGUUCGAUACUUCGAGGCUAGAGUGUGGGAGAGGUUGGUGGAAUUCCCAGUGUAGAGGUGAAAUUCGUAGAUAUUGGGAAGAACACCGGUGGCGAAGGCGGCCAACUGGACCACAACUGACGCUGAGGCGCGAAAGCGUGGGGAGCAAACAGG